UGUCUUCUUCCUAUGGCAGCCGACCAUCGUAUUCUCCUUCUGCGCCGCCACUCUUCGACCCAAAUGAGCCACCAAUAGCCCACCCAUAUCGUCCUUCUUCUUCUACUUCCUAUGCAAAUUACUCAAAUUAUCCUCAUCAGGCUCAGCCGCAAACAGCUGGUUAUGGACCUGGUUCUGGGUAUUACCAGAAUCCUCCAAAUUAUGGUUCUGGCUUUCCUCCGGGGACUGACCCACAAGUUAUUCAGAGUUUUCAGAUGGUAGAUAGGGAUUGCAGUGGGUUUG
This 282-nucleotide unclassified non-coding RNA is filed under the name Hevea brasiliensis (rubber tree). Lineage: Eukaryota; Viridiplantae; Streptophyta; Magnoliopsida; Malpighiales; Euphorbiaceae. The record is from RNAcentral.